GGAAGUGGAACUAAAGAGGAAGUAAAGAGGAAGUGGAAGUACAGAGGAAGUAAAGAUGGAGUGAGCAGGUGGAAGUGUGUCCCCAGACUGACGUUGAACUCUUCGGUGGAUGAGAGGAGAAGAGGAGUGAGGGGAUGUGGCAGGAGGCCCAGGAAGAAAGAAUAUUGUCCCUCCUGGAGAAGAUCUCUUAAUCUGGUAUCGUGAAGACGAAGCUGUCCAUAGCUCAUCAUCUCAGAGGAC
Non-coding RNA from Paralichthys olivaceus (Japanese flounder), 240 nucleotides. Lineage: Eukaryota; Metazoa; Chordata; Actinopteri; Pleuronectiformes; Paralichthyidae. The record is from RefSeq and is a predicted model, not a curated record.